UGCGUAGGCGGCGCGGAAAGUUGGGUGUGAAAGCCCUCGGCUCAACCGAGGAAUUGCGCCCAAAACUUCCGUGCUUGAGGAAGAUAGAGGUGAGCGGAACUUAGGGUGGAGCGGUGAAAUGCGUUGAUAUCCUGAGGAACACCGGUGGCGAAAGCGGCUCACUGGAUCUUUUCUGACGCUGAGGCACGAAAGCUAGGGGAGGCAAACG
RNAcentral lists this ribosomal RNA (208 nucleotides) under uncultured bacterium. Its description in RNAcentral is "partial 16S ribosomal RNA". It matches the Rfam family "Bacterial small subunit ribosomal RNA", at positions 568 to 775 of the family's 1533-position model. The record is from RNAcentral.